This 233-nucleotide ribosomal RNA is filed under the name uncultured bacterium. Its description in RNAcentral is "partial 16S ribosomal RNA". It matches the Rfam family "Bacterial small subunit ribosomal RNA", at positions 15 to 238 of the family's 1533-position model. The record is from RNAcentral.
GAUCAUGGCUCAGGAUGAACGCUGGCGGCAUGCCUAAUACAUGCAAGUCGAACGAGAGGAAGGAAAGCUUGCUUUUCUGAAUCUAGUGGCGAACGGGUGAGUAACACGUAGGUAACCUGCCCAUGUGCCCGGGAUAACUUCUGGAAACGGAUGCUAAAACCGGAUAGGUAGCAGACAAGCAUUUGACUGCUAUUAAAGUGGCUUUGGCCAUGAACAUGGAUGGACCUGCGGUG